GGGCCCGCACAAGCGGUGGAGCAUGUGGUUUAAUUCGAUGAUACGCGAGGAACCUUACCAGGGCUUAAAUGUAACGGGACAGAUCUAGAGAUAGAUCCUUCUUCGGACUCAUUACAAGGUGCUGCAUGGUUGUCGUCAGCUCGUGCCGUGAGGUGUCAGGUUAAGUCCUAUAACGAGCGCAACCCCAUCGUUAGUUGCCAACGAGUAAUGUCGGGAACUCUAACGAAACUGCCGGUGUAAACCGAGAGGAAGGUGGGGAUGACGUCAAAUCAUCACGGCCCUUACGUUCUGGCUACACACGUGCUACAAUGGUCGGUACAGAAAGCAGCCACUAUGCGAAUAGGAG
Molecule: ribosomal RNA, 346 nt
Filed under: uncultured bacterium
Lineage: Bacteria
Description: bacterial SSU rRNA
Rfam family: Bacterial small subunit ribosomal RNA
Source: RNAcentral